This is a long non-coding RNA of Mytilus californianus (California mussel), 1531 nucleotides long. RefSeq lists it as uncharacterized. NCBI's taxonomy places the organism in Eukaryota, Metazoa, Mollusca, Bivalvia, Mytilida, Mytilidae. The record is from RefSeq and is a predicted model, not a curated record. The transcript is spliced from 3 exons.
UUUUAUUAAUUGGAAAUGUCGAUUUCGAAAAUAUACUUAUGUUUUUCAUCAUGUGCUAUACUAAGAAAUGAUAUAUAUCUUAACUAUGGAUAGUUUUCUAUAGAAAUAAAACAUUCUUCUCGUGGAAAUUUUUGCCGUGUGCGAUUGAUACUAAAUAAAAAAUACUUUACACGUUAUCCACACUUUGAAAUAAAUCAAAAUGGAAAACUGGCAUGUACUUGAUGAACUUCGAUGUCCAGUAAAAGGAUGUGAGGGAGGAAGAAUUCCGUGCAAAUGGGUUUGUGGUGAAGACAAUUCUGUGAUACAGCUUGCCCAGACUGGUUUCAUGAAAUGCAGUAAAACAAUACAAGGAAAGGCAGCGCAUUACGGACAGGUCUGUGUAUGGCGUUGGGACUGUGGCAAACAUGGUGAUCACCCUUUCUCUCGAUUUCAAGAAGCAGAUUUUCAGGGAUUUGUGUUCGCCUUAUCUCACGCUCUUCAACUCACGAGUAAAGCGGGCACUACAUGGGUUGCAACUCUUUGUAUCGAACUAAACAAGCAAUACAUGAACAGUGAAACCCCAACACCAGCUUCAUCAGGCAAUAUCUGUAGUAUUUGUCUAGACAGACCAGUGGAUGUCUACCUAUAUCCCUGUGGUCAUACAGUUUGUGAGCAAGACGCACAAGAACUACAAAAGGGAAACAAUCAGUGUCACUUGUGCAAAGCCAAGUUUACAAACAUAAAUAAACUGUUCUUUUGACAACAAUUGAACAAACUUUAUAUUAUGGGGAUGGGAUGAAAUACCUUUGUACAUGCAGGUUACUUAUUAAUAAUUUUUAACUUUGAAAUGUUAGACAGAUUUUAUAUUUAAGAGUCAUUAAAUACUAAAAAGGGAUUCAUUUUCAUUAAGGACAUCAGAAGUCAUUAUUAGUGACUGGUCCUGUUUAAUCACCUGUUUCACAUUUUUGGCAUAGGUAGAUAGCGUUGAUUUAAUUGGUUGAAUAAUAAGAGCGUUAACACUAAGUGUGGAAUAUAAUGUCAUGUGAUAUUAAGAUUUUCUGUUACCUCCUCUUGGUACAUUCAAAAGUACGUAAUCACAUCUUAUAGACAUGCAGUAACAUUAUUCUCAACCGGGAAAUAAUUAGAAUGUUUUAAGUAUUAAUCCGAAGUGCAACAAGGGUAAAGUUUAGAAAAAAGAAAAAAAAAAAAAAAAAAAAGAAGCCAAAAGCAUGUAAAAUCAUCCGCCAAGAGUAUUAACUCUAUAUAGAGUAGACUAUCGGUUUCAGACAUGUUUACUGAUUUGUAGUUUUGUGUCCAGCUGAUAACUUUUGCUUUUUAUACUUUUUCUCAAUCUAUGAUCGUUUACCCAAAAAAAUCACAGAAAAUGGUUAAAAAAUAACCAUUCAAGGGCAAUAACUCAUAACAAUAGGAAACUGACAAUUUCUGCCAUGUUGAAUUAAAUGUAGAUCUUGUCUUGCUGAUCAAUAUUGUUGUUCAGUUCCAUUUAUUCGCUGUAGUUUCUUUAAAAUAAAAAAAAACAAAAAUUGACAAA